GGUUAAGCGACUAAGCGUACACGGUGGAUGCCCUGGCAGUCAGAGGCGAUGAAGGACGUGCUAAUCUGCGAUAAGCGUCGGUAAGGUGAUAUGAACCGUUAUAACCGGCGAUUUCCGAAUGGGGAAACCCAGUGUGAUUCGUCACACUAUCAUUAACUGAAUCCAUAGGUUAAUGAGGCGAACCGGGGGAACUGAAACAUCUAAGUACCCCGAGGAAAAGAAAUCAACCGAGAUUCCCCCAGUAGCGGCGAGCGAACGGGGAGCAGCCCAGAGCCUGAAUCAGUGUGUGUGUUAGUGGAAGCGUCUGGAAAGGCGCGCGAUACAGGGUGACAGCCCCGUACACAAAAAUGCACAUGCUGUGAGCUCGAUGAGUAGGGCGGGACACGUGGUAUCCUGUCUGAAUAUGGGGGGACCAUCCUCCAAGGCUAAAUACUCCUGACUGACCGAUAGUGAACCAGUACCGUGAGGGAAAGGCGAAAAGAACCCCGGCGAGGGGAGUGAAAAAGAACCUGAAACCGUGUACGUACAAGCAGUGGGAGCACGCUUAGGCGUGUGACUGCGUACCUUUUGUAUAAUGGGUCAGCGACUUAUAUUCUGUAGCAAGGUUAACCGAAUAGGGGAGCCGAAGGGAAACCGAGUCUUAACUGGGCGUUAAGUUGCAGGGUAUAGACCCGAAACCCGGUGAUCUAGCCAUGGGCAGGUUGAAGGUUGGGUAACACUAACUGGAGGACCGAACCGACUAAUGUUGAAAAAUUAGCGGAUGACUUGUGGCUGGGGGUGAAAGGCCAAUCAAACCGGGAGAUAGCUGGUUCUCCCCGAAAGCUAUUUAGGUAGCGCCUCGUGAAUUCAUCUCCGGGGGUAGAGCACUGUUUCGGCAAGGGGGUCAUCCCGACUUACCAACCCGAUGCAAACUGCGAAUACCGGAGAAUGUUAUCACGGGAGACACACGGCGGGUGCUAACGUCCGUCGUGAAGAGGGAAACAACCCAGACCGCCAGCUAAGGUCCCAAAGUCAUGGUUAAGUGGGAAACGAUGUGGGAAGGCCCAGACAGCCAGGAUGUUGGCUUAGAAGCAGCCAUCAUUUAAAGAAAGCGUAAUAGCUCACUGGUCGAGUCGGCCUGCGCGGAAGAUGUAACGGGGCUAAACCAUGCACCGAAGCUGCGGCAGCGACACUGUGUGUUGUUGGGUAGGGGAGCGUUCUGUAAGCCUGCGAAGGUGUGCUGUGAGGCAUGCUGGAGGUAUCAGAAGUGCGAAUGCUGACAUAAGUAACGAUAAAGCGGGUGAAAAGCCCGCUCGCCGGAAGACCAAGGGUUCCUGUCCAACGUUAAUCGGGGCAGGGUGAGUCGACCCCUAAGGCGAGGCCGAAAGGCGUAGUCGAUGGGAAACAGGUUAAUAUUCCUGUACUUGGUGUUACUGCGAAGGGGGGACGGAGAAGGCUAUGUUGGCCGGGCGACGGUUGUCCCGGUUUAAGCGUGUAGGCUGGUUUUCCAGGCAAAUCCGGAAAAUCAAGGCUGAGGCGUGAUGACGAGGCACUACGGUGCUGAAGCAACAAAUGCCCUGCUUCCAGGAAAAGCCUCUAAGCAUCAGGUAACAUCAAAUCGUACCCCAAACCGACACAGGUGGUCAGGUAGAGAAUACCAAGGCGCUUGAGAGAACUCGGGUGAAGGAACUAGGCAAAAUGGUGCCGUAACUUCGGGAGAAGGCACGCUGAUACGUAGGUGAAGUCCCUCGCGGAUGGAGCUGAAAUCAGUCGAAGAUACCAGCUGGCUGCAACUGUUUAUUAAAAACACAGCACUGUGCAAACACGAAAGUGGACGUAUACGGUGUGACGCCUGCCCGGUGCCGGAAGGUUAAUUGAUGGGGUCAGCGCAAGCGAAGCUCUUGAUCGAAGCCCCGGUAAACGGCGGCCGUAACUAUAACGGUCCUAAGGUAGCGAAAUUCCUUGUCGGGUAAGUUCCGACCUGCACGAAUGGCGUAAUGAUGGCCAGGCUGUCUCCACCCGAGACUCAGUGAAAUUGAACUCGCUGUGAAGAUGCAGUGUACCCGCGGCAAGACGGAAAGACCCCGUGAACCUUUACUAUAGCUUGACACUGAACAUUGAGCCUUGAUGUGUAGGAUAGGUGGGAGGCUUUGAAGUGUGGACGCCAGUCUGCAUGGAGCCGACCUUGAAAUACCACCCUUUAAUGUUUGAUGUUCUAACGUUGACCCGUAAUCCGGGUUGCGGACAGUGUCUGGUGGGUAGUUUGACUGGGGCGGUCUCCUCCUAAAGAGUAACGGAGGAGCACGAAGGUUGGCUAAUCCUGGUCGGACAUCAGGAGGUUAGUGCAAUGGCAUAAGCCAGCUUGACUGCGAGCGUGACGGCGCGAGCAGGUGCGAAAGCAGGUCAUAGUGAUCCGGUGGUUCUGAAUGGAAGGGCCAUCGCUCAACGGAUAAAAGGUACUCCGGGGAUAACAGGCUGAUACCGCCCAAGAGUUCAUAUCGACGGCGGUGUUUGGCACCUCGAUGUCGGCUCAUCACAUCCUGGGGCUGAAGUAGGUCCCAAGGGUAUGGCUGUUCGCCAUUUAAAGUGGUACGCGAGCUGGGUUUAGAACGUCGUGAGACAGUUCGGUCCCUAUCUGCCGUGGGCGCUGGAGAAUUGAGGGGGGCUGCUCCUAGUACGAGAGGACCGGAGUGGACGCAUC
This 2680-nucleotide ribosomal RNA is filed under the name Escherichia coli. Its description in RNAcentral is "partial 23S ribosomal RNA". It matches the Rfam family "Bacterial large subunit ribosomal RNA". Lineage: Bacteria; Pseudomonadati; Pseudomonadota; Gammaproteobacteria; Enterobacterales; Enterobacteriaceae. The record is from RNAcentral.